AUUGAACGCUGGCGGCAGGCCUAACACAUGCGAGUCGAACGGUAACAGGAAGCAGCUUGCUGCUUUGCUGACGAGUGGCGGGCGGGUGAAUCAUGUCUGGGAAACUGCCUGAUGGAGGGGGAUAACUACUGGAAACGGUAGCUAAUACCGCAUAACGUCGCAAGAGCAAAGAGGGGGACCUUAGGGCCUCUUGCCAUCGGAUGUGCCCAGAUGGGAUUAGCUAGUAGGUGGGGUAACGGCUCACCUAGGCGACGAUCCCUAGCUGGUCUGAGAGGAUGACCAGCCACACUGGAACUGAGACACGGUCCAGACUCCUACGGGAGGCAGCAGUGGGGAAUAUUGCGCAAUGGGCGCAAGCCUGAUGCAGCCAUGCCGCGUGUAUGAAGAAGGCCUUCGGGUUGUAAAGUACUUUCAGCGGGGAGGAAGGGAGUAAAGUUAAUACCUUUGCUCAUUGACGUUACCCGCAGAAGAAGCCCCGGCUAACUCCGUG
This 490-nucleotide ribosomal RNA is filed under the name uncultured bacterium. Its description in RNAcentral is "partial 16S ribosomal RNA". It matches the Rfam family "Bacterial small subunit ribosomal RNA", at positions 30 to 507 of the family's 1533-position model. The record is from RNAcentral.